GUCACUGGAUGGUAACCAGCAGAAUGGGGGCUCCCUGGGCUGUGUAGAGCCUGGGAAAGGGCACUGGUUCUCAUACCAUGUCUCAGGGCAUCUCUAGGGAUAGAAGCAGGGAGGGGCCGUGCACUGGGAGUUCCAGAAGCCAACUGCACCCAUCGAGCACCCUCCUGGUACUCAGCAAGCCCCAACCCUGACCUCCAGCCAUCUUCAGAGAUGAAUGGGUGCUGGGGCAGUCUCCGGCUGGACUUCCUUCACAUACAGGAGUCUUCCUACAGCACCUGAGACCCAGUGCCAGGCUAGCUGAAGUCCCAACAGGUUCUCCCCAAGGAAGACCUCUGUGAGAAGCCAUGCAGGCAGUCCCGGCUGCACAGUGGGCGGCUACAUAGCUCACACUGGAGACCUUUCUACAGAGGAAGGAUUCUCGAGGUAGCGGGACAGCAGAGAAGACAACAUGACCUUGGGAGGCCUCUGACUCUCCUGCCUACCCCAGGGACCCCCUUCCCCAGUUAACGCUAUGCCCUGUGCAGAGGGGAAGCAGUUCUGGGCUGGCACUGGCCUGUCAGGGCUGGAGACUCUGUAAGAAGCAGUGAUAAAGGUCUAUACUGUA
This is a long non-coding RNA of Mastomys coucha (southern multimammate mouse), 604 nucleotides long. RefSeq lists it as uncharacterized. The transcript is spliced from 2 exons. NCBI's taxonomy places the organism in Eukaryota, Metazoa, Chordata, Mammalia, Rodentia, Muridae. The record is from RefSeq and is a predicted model, not a curated record.